Pistacia vera is the source of this 1205-nucleotide long non-coding RNA. RefSeq lists it as uncharacterized. NCBI's taxonomy places the organism in Eukaryota, Viridiplantae, Streptophyta, Magnoliopsida, Sapindales, Anacardiaceae. The transcript is spliced from 2 exons. The record is from RefSeq and is a predicted model, not a curated record.
AUAACUCAGAGCAUGGUAGCUCCUCCCCACCAUUUUCUUAGGCGUUUUCUUCAUUUAGUUUCAUCCAGAAAAAGUCUUUUUGACGCACUAGAAAUUGAUUUCUAUUAUUGUUGUUCAUUUAUCUAGACCUUUUUCUCUUCCUCGCUACUGAUAUAUUUUCACCUUCCAUUAAGAGUCUUUGACAGGCCUUCGGUGGAAGCAUAAUUUUUGUUGCCUUUCUAGUCGUCGUGUUGUCUCCUGUGAGUAACUUCAAGCAAAAUAGACAAUUUGAAAAGCUUUUAAACGAGAGUGGUGACAUAAAAGUUGAAGUCUCGAGAGAUGGCAGGCACCGAAGCGUGUUGAUCUUUGAAGUUGUAGUGGGUGAUGUUGUGUGUUUGAGAAUUGAAGAUCGUUAAUGGCUUGUUUCGAGAAUCAGCAGUUUGGCAUAUCACCGGUGAAAGUGACCAUGUUGAGAGCGACAACAAGAGAGCCUUUUCUUGCUUUCUGGCACAGAAUGGUGACAGAAGGUUAUGGUUCUAUGCUGGUCACUCGUGCAGGCAUGAACACAACAAGAAGAGAGAUGAUGCUCCAAUAAGCGUUGCCUUGAAAGUUGGAUGACGAGACUCCACUACCUGUAGAUUGCCACAACAAGCUAAACAUCCUAUACCCGGAAGAUGAAAUUGGCUGUGACCAAUUGAUUUUAGAUGCUAUAUAUGGUCAGUCAAAGACAUUGUUGUGACUCAGCCCAUAUGGAGUCUCAGCUUAUCCAACAUGGUCAAUUUCAUCAGUCAUAAGCUAGAUUCAUCCCCCUGCAAGGAGUUCCUAUUCAAGAAUAACACAUCAGUCGGAAUCUGAUCACCAAUUCUGAAACACACAAUAUCACCCACUACAACUUCAAAGAUCAACACGCUUUGGCGCCUGCCAUCUCUCGAGACUUCAACUUUUAUGUCACCACUCUCGUUUAAAAGCUUUUCAAAUUGUCUACUUUGCUUAAAGUUUCUCACAGAAGAGAGCACUUCGACUAGAAAGACAUCAAAGAAGUAUGCUUCCACCAUCGUCUGCAGCCCAUAACUUGGCGUUUUGCCACAGGGCUAUCUUGUUUGUUAGGCAGCUAGGUGUGAUAAUAAAAGUUGAAUGAUGUAAUACAAAAGUUGUGAUUCAAUUUCAACAUUUAAUUAUCUGCAAGUUCUAUAAAACGUUUGAAUAAUUAAUAAUGUGUUUAGAAA